Molecule: long non-coding RNA, 652 nt
Organism: Hirundo rustica (Barn swallow)
Lineage: Eukaryota; Metazoa; Chordata; Aves; Passeriformes; Hirundinidae
Exons: 3
Source: RefSeq, a predicted model, not a curated record
GAACCAGCUCCUUCUGGGGUAAGAGGCUGAGAAAUCAUCCCGACAUCACUGCAACCAUGAUUUCACCAGGAUAAUGUACUGCAAGGUUAUUGUCAUAUGAAAACUCUACUCCUGGAAAGAGGAAGUCACUUACAAGACUUUGAUCUAGGAUGAUCAUUCCCACAAACCUGUGACAAGUGGUGGCAGUGUCCCCCAAGUGGAGCUCAUGGCAUGCUCAGGGGCUACCUCCUCUGCAGUGUCCUGUGUUACCUCCUCAGUGGCCCGAGUGCAGGGCAUACCUGUGAGCCAGCAGAAAAGCACACACCAAGAAAAUACAAACCACUGAGAGCUGUUUGGAUCUUGCUGAUCUGAUGCCUGGAAUACCUCGCUGUCAGCCUGAAGAGCGCUCUGGCACAGGAGCCGGUGUGAUGCCAGCUCCCAGAGCACAGCUGCCCUCUCCUCCCGCCGCCACGCGAUUCAUGAGCUUUCACAUCCCUGCCGUGAGCCUGUUCAUCCAGCACCUUGCUCCAGCCACACCACGGGGGAGGAUUUAUGGUUCUUACAGAUCAAUUUCAUUAUCCCAGGAGGAAAAUCAGCAUCUUGUUAUGGAUAAAAUGACAAUAAAUGAAAUGACCAUUAAUUUACGAUCUUGCCACACAGUGGCACUCAAACA